Dallia pectoralis (Alaska blackfish) is the source of this 72-nucleotide non-coding RNA. NCBI's taxonomy places the organism in Eukaryota, Metazoa, Chordata, Actinopteri, Esociformes, Umbridae. The record is from the annotation of a GenBank genome assembly.
CGCUGUGUAGCUCAGUGGUAGAGUGCAUGCUUUGUAUGUAUGCUGUCCUGGGAUCAUUCCCCAACUUCUCCC